This 346-nucleotide ribosomal RNA is filed under the name Ionopezia gerardii. Its description in RNAcentral is "SSU rRNA". It matches the Rfam family "Eukaryotic small subunit ribosomal RNA", at positions 594 to 945 of the family's 1831-position model. The record is from RNAcentral. Lineage: Eukaryota; Fungi; Ascomycota; Pezizomycetes; Pezizales; Pezizaceae.
AUAGCGUAUAUUAAAGUUGUUGCAGUUAAAAAGCUCGUAGUUGAACCUUGGGCCUGGCUGACCGGUCUGCCUCACCGUAUGCACUGGUUUGGUCGGGCCUUUCCUUCUGGGUAGCCACAUGCCCUUUAUUGGGUGUGUUGGGGAACCAGGACUUUUACUUUGAAAAAAUUAGAGUGUUCAAAGCAGGCCUAUGCUCGAAUACAUUAGCAUGGAAUAAUAGAAUAGGACUUGCGGUUCUAUUUUGUUGGUUUCUAGGACCGCAGUAAUGAUUAAUAGGGAUAGUCGGGGGCAUCCGUAUUCAAUUGUCAGAGGUGAAAUUCUUGGAUUUAUUGAAGACGAACUACUG